This 1877-nucleotide long non-coding RNA is filed under the name Neogobius melanostomus (round goby). Its description in RNAcentral is "lncRNA (ENSNMLG00000013800.1)". Lineage: Eukaryota; Metazoa; Chordata; Actinopteri; Gobiiformes; Gobiidae. The record is from RNAcentral.
UUACAAAAAGCAAAUCAGCUUUGACGACUUGCGUUUUUUAGAAGAAACUUUCUUCCAAAGGCCUUUAACCCCUUGCACUCGAGAGCCCCCGGUACCGGGGGCAACCCUCGCUGUGCUACACAACGACGCUCGUAGCCGGCUACCGCUUCGACCAAAACACACUUAUCAUACAUCAAAUUGUCAAGCAGAAACUCCUCAACAAAAGUAUCCACUCCAAACUCAAAUCAUUGUAACACAGCUCAAACCCCUAGCAAUAAAACACCAACAUGUCUAGAAUUGAAGUUUUGACCAGGUAAUUGUUUUUGCUUCUGGGUUUUCAAAAGACGAAACGCAGAACUACGAACAAGAUAUCAAAAGAAAGCUAACAACUCACUGAAUCGAUCGGUGUAAAGCUUAUUUGCACAGCAGUAAACAUGUUCAGCAGAGACCGCAUCAAACUGCACAAAAAACACCAGCAAAUCAAAAUAAAACAUGCAAAUGCGGACUUACCUUUGCUGUUUCUUUGCUCUGCUAUGCUCCACUGUUCCAAGUUUUUUCACUGGACAAGAGUAAGAUGGCACCGUCCUGUUGACGCCAUUUUGGCUCUAAAAGACCCCGUAUUUCAGCCACAACAGGGCAAAACGCAGAAACUGGGACUCGGAGUGGCUCUUACAGCGCCUGUACGAGCUCGCCUGUGAUUCGCCAGGGCUUCUGUCCGUCACAGAAUGAGUGGUAUCAUUCGAUUCUGUAGAAUCUCCCCUUUCAGGGGAUAUUUUGAGCUCGCUGAUUGGAUAAAAUUUCGUGGAGUUAGCCCUGCGCGUAAGACUGCGUCGUCAUUUCAGCUUCGACGCACAGAGCGCAUGACGCAUGAGGAAGAAGUAGCUAUCGUAUUUUCGAACAGAUUUUUAAACUUUUUAUCACCACAUCAUGGCUUUUAGAGGGAAAAAGCGCUUUUACACUCUCGAGGAGACACAGGAUAUAGUACUUGGAGACAUGGAAUUUGAAGACAUUGUACUUCAAGACUACUCUUCUGACGAGUCCGAUCUGUUGGCCACAACCAGCCGGUCAAAUUAUGAAUAUCCCCCAGAUGAAAGUGCUCCUUCAAAUACACAAAGUGUGUCUGCCCCUCCCUCCAAGGAAGCCACUGUCAGGCCGCGAAAAGCACUCUCCAAGAGCAAGACGGGGAGAGCCAGUCCUGCUGCCACAUUACCUGCUCCUAGUGAUCGCUGGAAAAAUCGUGAUGAGGAGGACACUGCCCCCAAUCCACGCCGUUUUGUGCCAGCAAGAGACACAGGACCUGUUUUGGACAAAAACGCUUCAUGGACAGUCCUGCAGUUGUUCCAGCUGUUUUUUAGCAGUGCCACUGUGAAUACAAUUAUUGUAAACACAAACACUAAUGCUGAAAGGCAAAAGCAGGCUGGAAAAAAAUACAAAUGGACUCCAUUGACUCUAUACUGCUGUUCACAGGACUUGUCUGUGCACACACAAGACAGGAUUAUAAUGGUCCAAUUUGCAGAUGCUGAGGAGACUGCUGAGGAAACACCAAAUACCUGCAUGCCAGUUUAUUUUGGGUAGGAUGCCACUGCCAUGAGAAAGUACUGCAAAAAAUGCUUUGACGCAGGGGACAAACGGGUAAAGACUCCUGUGUACUGCAGAAAGUGUCAGGUACCUCACCUCCAAAAAUAACUGUUUUGUCGCCUGGCAUGAUGCUAUGUGAAGUUUUUUGUUUUAUUUUACUUUUGAUUACCUGUGUGCGUGUUUACUGUAUAUAGUUUUUGCAAUAAAGUGUGCUGAAAUAUAUAAAUUGCGUCUUUACUUUUAGAAAAAAAAAGUAUUUUUAUGACCAAAUAUGUAAAAGUAUCCCAAAUUUUCAUUUUCAUUGAGAUAUUCCAUAUUUC